CAGCAGCCACGGUAAUACGUAGGUGGCAAGCGUUGUCCGGAAUUAUUGGGCGUAAAGGGCUCGCAGGCGGUUUCUUAAGUCUGAUGUGAAAGCCCCCGGCUCAACCGGGGAGGGUCAUUGGAAACUGGGAAACUUGAGUGCAGAAGAGGAGAGUGGAAUUCCACGUGAAGCGGUGAAAUGCGUAGAGAUGUGGAGGAACACCAGUGGCGAAGGCGACUCUCUGGUCUGUAACUGACGCUGAGGAGCGAAAGCGUGGGGAGCGAACAGGAUUAGAUACCCGAGUAGUCCCUGUCUCUUAUAC
Molecule: ribosomal RNA, 301 nt
Filed under: uncultured bacterium
Lineage: Bacteria
Description: partial 16S ribosomal RNA
Rfam family: Bacterial small subunit ribosomal RNA
Source: RNAcentral